CAAUCAUUCGUUUUAGUUAUUGGGUUUUAAGUGAUGUUGUCGCGAGGUUGCUUUGUGGUGCGAGGGCAUACGCUUUACUUCAGAGGUGUAAUCCAUCAUUGUGUCAAAAUGGGACAGUGGUUGCUGUACUGUGGCUUGGACUAAUCCUUGACGGUUAAGCAAUUUAGACCAGAGGCCUUGGUACAUUGUUUGAUGUCUGUUAAACGCCAAGGUAAUGUAUUUUCCGCCCUGAACCAGAAGAUAUGAAAGGACCACUGGAGAAAGCUGAUCAUCCUUGGCCAUGGUGUGAUGAAAUCUUCUAUUUGUACUAUAGAAAUGUUAGAAUUCUACAUAAAUGAGAGAACUGAUCAUCCUUGGCCAUGGUGUGAUUAAAUCUUUUAUUUGUACUAUAGAAAUGUUAGAAUUCUACAUAAAUGAGAGAACUGAUAGUAUACGUAUUGACUUUGUCCUUGGCAAGGACUCUUGCAGCAAUCUUUCAACAAUCACAUUUUAGUGGGACCACCUUUCAACAACCACAUUUCAGUGUGGAAGUCACUUUGGUUAGUAUUUAGUAUUCCCUAAUGAUAAUAAACCAAAAACUUUA
Molecule: long non-coding RNA, 583 nt
Organism: Macrobrachium nipponense
Lineage: Eukaryota; Metazoa; Arthropoda; Malacostraca; Decapoda; Palaemonidae
Exons: 3
Source: RefSeq, a predicted model, not a curated record